UGGCUCAUUAAAUCAGUUAUCGUUUAUUUGAUAGUACCUUACUACUUGGAUAACCGUGGUAAUUCUAGAGCUAAUACAUGCUAAAAACCCCAACUUCGGAAGGGGUGUAUUUAUUAGAUAAAAAACCAACGCCCUUCGGGGCUUCUUGGUGAUUCAUGAUAACUUUACGGAUCGCAUGGCCUUGCGCCGGCGACGGUUCAUUCAAAUUUCUGCCCUAUCAACUUUCGAUGGUAAGGUAUUGGCUUACCAUGGUUUCAACGGGUAACGGGGAAUUAGGGUUCGAUUCCGGAGAGGGAGCCUGAGAAACGGCUACCACAUCCAAGGAAGGCAGCAGGCGCGCAAAUUACCCAAUCCCGACACGGGGAGGUAGUGACAAUAAAUACUGAUACAGGGCUCUUUUGGGUCUUGUAAUUGGAAUGAGUACAAUUUAAACCUCUUAACGAGGAACAAUUGGAGGGCAAGUCUGGUGCCAGCAGCCGCGGUAAUUCCAGCUCCAAUAGCGUAUAUUAAAGUUGUUGCAGUUAAAAAGCUCGUAGUUGAAACUUGGGUCUGGCUGGCAGGUCCGCCUCACCGCGUGUACUUGUCCGGCCGGGCCUUCCUUCUGGAGAACCUCAUGCCCUUCACUGGGCGUGUUGGGGACCAGGACUUUUACUUUGAAAAAAUUAGAGUGUUCAAAGCAGGCCUUUGCUCGAAUACGUUAGCAUGGAAUAAUAGAAUAGGACGUGCGGUCCUAUUUUGUUGGUUUCUAGGACCGCCGUAAUGAUUAAUAGGGACAGUCGGGGGCAUCAGUAUUCAAUUGUCAGAGGUGAAAUUCUUGGAUUUAUUGAAGACUAACUACUGCGAAAGCAUUUGCCAAGGAUGUUUUCAUUAAUCAGUGAACGAAAGUUAGGGGAUCGAAGACGAUCAGAUACCGUCGUAGUCUUAACCGUAAACUAUGCCGACUAGGGAUCGGGCGAUGUUCUUUUUCUGACUCGCU
This 976-nucleotide ribosomal RNA is filed under the name Plenodomus artemisiae. RNAcentral describes it as "SSU rRNA". It matches the Rfam family "Eukaryotic small subunit ribosomal RNA", at positions 94 to 1080 of the family's 1831-position model. The record is from RNAcentral. Lineage: Eukaryota; Fungi; Ascomycota; Dothideomycetes; Pleosporales; Leptosphaeriaceae.